UACGUAGGGUGCAGGCGUUAAUCGGAAUUACUGGGCGUAAAGCGUGCGCAGGCGGUUUCUUAAGUCAGAUGUGAAAGCCCCGGGCUUAACCUGGGAACUGCGUUUGAAACUGGGAGACUUGAGUGUGGCAGAGGGGGGUGGAAUUCCACGUGUAGCAGUGAAAUGCGUAGAUAUGUGGAGGAACACCAAUGGCGAAGGCAGCCCCCUGGGUUAACACUGACGCUCAUGCACGAAAGCGUGGGGAGCAAACAGG
Molecule: ribosomal RNA, 253 nt
Filed under: uncultured bacterium
Lineage: Bacteria
Also listed under: 1 other name
Description: partial 16S ribosomal RNA
Rfam family: Bacterial small subunit ribosomal RNA
Source: RNAcentral